This is a long non-coding RNA of Astatotilapia calliptera (eastern happy), 2175 nucleotides long. The record is from Ensembl. Lineage: Eukaryota; Metazoa; Chordata; Actinopteri; Cichliformes; Cichlidae.
GAGAGAAAGAGGAAGAACACAGAGGGAGGACAUGUAGACGGUUGGUGUGACAGAGGAGGAUGCUAGGGUUAGGGUGGGAUGGAGCAACCACUGUGAGAACCUCUAAAGCGAGCGGCCAAAAGAGGAAGAAGCACAGUCUUCCAGCUAGCAGACCAGAAAGGUCAGUCACACUGGAAGAAGUUAAAACGGUGAUCUCGCCUCAUUUGAACCCUGUCAAAGUGGAAUUUUCAAGGACUCGAUGCGGUCGAGAUCUUCUGCUCCCCCAUGUUUUAAAUAGAUCCCCCGGUCUGAAACUGUGAGGUCUCGGGGAUCAUGAGCUAGUGCCAGGCCCAAGCCCUGAGGAAUGGCAGCUUUACGUCAGGAAGGCCACCUGGUGUAAACAUGCGGAUCCAGAAGGUAAAGCCGAAGGGUCACCGAGCUGGAAUGAGGGCGGACUGACAACGAUGCCGAAACCUACUUGGCACAGCGCUGUGAUCACAGAGCCAGACAUGAGGAAAAAUAUGCAAAGAAACUGGGUUGGUCAAUAAAAGGCAGAGAGGAAGCAAAGAGGGGGACACUGUAGCAAUAAUUGUGUGGUUUUAAAUAGUUUGCAUCAUACAAUGACAAUAAAACUGAAGUAUGUAUUGUAGAGGCAAUUUCAAAUCAAUGUCCUAAACAAAGCAGUGGCGAACUGUCCAAGAGCACAGUGAAAGCAGCCAAACCAGAUUCUGAGGCCUGAAACUACGAAGUUUUCAGUGCGGACCACACUCUCUGUUCUACAUACAAAUGUUGUGUCUCGAACUCUUUUGCCUUCCUCUCCUCCUCUCUUCUGGGCGGGGCAGAGCGGAAAAAGAGACAAAUUAAAGAACGACAGAAAAAAAAAAGUAAAAAAAGAAAUCCCCCCGCAAAACACACGUGUCUGCGCUAAUCUGUCAGCUGUAAUUCCUGUAUUAUUAAAAAGAGAUACGGUCAUUUGUGGUGUAAUUACACCCACACCCUUUUCCCUUCUGACAGGAGGAAAUGCAUUCCAGGCAUCUUUGCUCUGAGCGUUUACUACACUCUGACAUGCUGUCACGCUUAUCUGAUGGUGUAGUCUCCUUCUGUCAGCCAGAGUGAGACAAAAACAGAAAACCACGGUGCCCACAGGUGAAUUUCAGGAGUUGCUCCUUAGAAAAAGACACGCACACCUUCAUGCCUGCAAGCACAUACAAAUGUAAUGACAGGUUUGACAAAGCAGAGACAAAUGGUUUUUCACACUUGCUCUUAGGUAUCAGCAUUAGUGCUGAAAGACAGUCUCCAAAUCAGCCAAAGAUUUGGCAGAAAAUCCUGCAUGGCAUUCGUGUCUCAAUCAGCAGUUUUAUUAAGUGCUUAAAACCCAUUUUAUUUCGAGCCUGUUGAUUAGCUAUGCCUAGGCAAAUGUAAAAUGCAAUCAUGUCAAUUGUUAACCCUUGAAAUGAAACCUUCAGGUCUAUUUGAAGUUUAGCAGAAACACAUAAUAUAAACUUAAACAUUAAAAAGUAGAAACUUAAUCUGACUUUUACCAACUUAAACUUUUUGAGUUUCUCUAAAAUUUCUUUUAGGGAUCUCUGAUCUCUCUCCUGACCUCCUCUUUACAUAUUGACUAUUUGAACUAAAGAUUUCAUAUAUAGUUAUCACCUCUUAAGGCCCAUUGCCUCAAAUUUUCACUUGAGGUUGUGCAGUGUGGCAUACCUUAGACUUUUGUCCCUGUUUCCCUUCCUUAAGAAUGGCCUCCUUGACAGAUACCCUUCCACUGAGAACAUUUCUGAUGAACAGGCAGAUAACAACAGGCAGAAACAUCCAGAGAAGAGCUUUGAAUGUCCUUCAAGAAGCCUCGAGAACUAUUCCUGAAGACUCUUUAAAGAAAUGACAUGAAAGCUGCCUGAGAGAGUUCAGACUGUGCUUCCAUCAUGUUUGCAUGAAUGCAAAUGCAGAAUGCGGAAAAAGUUCAUUUAGUUCAAUCCCAUCGUAUCUAAAUAUUUAAUUCUCUGUGAUAAUGGGGACACUACGUAAGUGCUGCUUACAGAGUUAAAUUAGGCAAACACAACUUCAUGAGAUCCAUGACUGACAUGGUGUCUUGAACUUUGAUAUGAUUGCUAACACCAAAAAAAGUCAGCUUCACACCAGUUAAUCAAGAUUUACCACACUGCUGUUGUUUUGUAGCAUGUUUGCUGUGCC